This is a long non-coding RNA of Anguilla rostrata (American eel), 2603 nucleotides long. RefSeq lists it as uncharacterized. The transcript has 6 exons. NCBI's taxonomy places the organism in Eukaryota, Metazoa, Chordata, Actinopteri, Anguilliformes, Anguillidae. The record is from RefSeq and is a predicted model, not a curated record.
CAACCGAUUCUACCAGUAGCCAAUCCGUCUCUUUGAAAGGGACAGUGAAUGAUGAUUCCAGUUGAUAAUCGGUCACCUGAGCUGCUGGCAGCAUACAUCCAUACAGAAACUCUUUAACGUUAGCAAGCGAGGCAUACUUGCUCCAGGAGGGACUGUUGGAACUUGGCAGCCACUGUGGAGGCCUGGUAGCGGCGUGUCACUGUGCUGUUCUUCCUCAGGCAGCCACAACACCAACCCAAAAGAGAUGGAGAGGACUGCACAUAAUCCAGGUGGGCUGAGCUGUUACUACACAGUGUCUGCGAAACAUAUCCAAAGAAGAACAAAAUAUAUCUGGCGUACAUACUUCACAAGAAAGAAGUCCUGUGUUCCUCACACAGUGGACAGAAAAUCCCAAAAUACCCCUCUCUAAAGCCAGCAGGUCAUCAGAAACAUUGCCUUACUUCCUUGCCCAAAGUUCAUGUGAUCGCUGCAGCCCUGUCUCUCGCUCCGUGGCCGUGGCCCGCUGCAGCCCUGUUCAUGCCCAUGCCUUGAUGCAGCCCAGAGCUCCAAAUGGAUAACCUUGCCCCUCCAAAUAGCACUAUACUGAGCUACACAAUGUGGACUUCUACCAUUCCAGUUAGUUUAUUACCUCAACUGUAACCUGCUCAAGCCAUUUUAUUUGCCAUGAUAGAGCCUUUAUGACAUUUCUGUUACAUCCAUUCUACCGCUAAUUUAUACCGGGUUGGCCAGUGGAGGAUGGGCCAAGAGAUUUCUUCCCAUUAAGGAGUUUUUUCUAUUUUGAGGGUUUUUCUCCCCACUGGGAGUUUUCUACCUCAUGGGCUUGCUAUUUGGGAGUUCAGGCUAUUCUGUAAAGCAGUUUGUGACAGUUUUCUAUUUAAAAAAAAAAGACUAUACGAAUUAAAUUGAUUUGAUUUUAUUUGUGACAAAGUCAUUACAGAUGCUAUAGAACUAAGUGAAGUAAUGAUAUUAUUAGUAAUGGAUAAGAUAGGAAAUAAAUUGCUUAUUAAGCAAAAUCGUUUUUAUCUGAAUAAUCAUAUUAUUAUAAAAAAGAAAAUUCUUUGCCUGUAUUGUUUAAUUUAUACAGCCUUCUUUACUCAUCUUUAUCAAGCCUGUGAAUAAUACAGAAUUGGCAAUUCUUCAGAAAUCACUAUCCACUGAUGUUAAUGUUAGUUUUUCCAUAGCUUUUAAAUAUCUAUCUAUUCAGUUUCCUCAAUACCAUAGUAAACAGCUUCACUGUUGCUCUUAUAGCACCUAACUAUUGAUUUAUUCUGUCUGGUCCUGUUCUCUGUGGUAAGUGUGUACAUUAUCAUUCAAUACAGUACAAUUUAACUGUAUAGCUCACUGCAUGGUGGUAUUAUUCUAGACUGGUUGAAUAUACUUUUCUCAAAGUUGCACCUGCUAAAUGGCAUGUAAUGUAAAUACAUCAGAGUUCUCUUUAUCCACCCCGUAUUAUCUCUGUUAAGUACAGUAUGUGGAAGGUCAUACAAUGCUUUAAGUCAAAAUGCAUUUACAAUGAAGGACAUUUUGAAACCGUUUAACCCACUCUCAGGAUAGGUAAUGUAUUUACACUGCUCUCCACUGGACAAUGAACAUGAAGAUGAUGUGUUGACCUUUAUCAUAAGAUUAUGGGUAUGAAAGCAGGGGCGGCAGGUGGUCAGUCAGGAUGGAAGAAUAUGCUCAAUUAUCUUGACAUGACCACGUCCCCUCAGGCUCGGAUAUUUCUCUGACAUUUAAAUACAAAACAGGAAUUUCAUUCUUUGAUGAGUUACCCUCAAAGUACUGGUGGUGUGUGUGCGUGUGAAAGCGCAUGUGUGUGUACAUGUGUUACAUACAGCACAAUCAUAGGAAAUUAAGCAUUGUAUCACUCAAGAAAUGUAUGGAAGUUUAUUCUCACAGCAGGUAAUGCAUAAGACUGAUAUAUUCAUUAUAAAAAAAAAAUUUAUAUUAAGUUUUUGGAGAAAAAUUUUUAUCAAGGAAAUUGGGAUAAUGGAAAAGUAGCUAUCAUAGUUAUUUCUGAACUUAUGUUUCUGUUUUGUAUUCUUUGACACAAAUGAUUAAUAAUUAUGAAACAAUCAAAGAAGGAUUGGUAGAAUCAGGAUGACUACACAUAUCUCUUUCAUGAAUUUUCCUGAAGUCUUUCAAGACGAUACACAAAGAAAUAAUUUGACACAGUAACCUCAAGCUUAAUCUUAUGCUCAGAAACCAGAACACAAUUUAGACCAGAUCAACUAGACUAUGCAACAGACAUCAUACAUCUCAAUGAAUUGCAUAAAGCUCAAACAUACAAGCCUCAACAUAACUUAUAUGUGCACAGUACAAUAAGAAAUAAAUUCACUGUAGCACUAUUUUUUAUUUUUGAAAGUCAAUAUUGUUGAAACAACAGGUUUAUUAAAUACAGCCCGGCUGCCUCCUCGGCGUACACACAGACAUGCACACUGCCAUCUGGACCCGGCAUCAAGUAUCAUUCCAAUAUUUAUAGUAGCCCUGUGCCCCAGCCUACCCCUGCUUACCUUUUCUCCUCGUCACUCAUGUAAAGUCCAUUGUCUUAGAGUUCUCCAUGCUGCUGCUAUGCCACAGCAAUGUUCUUCCAUGCUGUUCAUCAG